GUCUUCAGUCACUGGGGGCGCUGUUCGGAAGUGAAUGCCCGUGUGAACUCAUUGAUGACUGACUGAACUCGCCGAUGAGCGGCACCUCAGAAGAAGCACCAGCAUACACGUAAUGUCUUCACAACAGCGCUCCUGACAAGUUUGACUGCACAGAUGGCAACCGGUGAAUCAGACGCAUCACGUCAAGCCUGAACAACUGAGAUGACGCAUUUUUCGGAGCGAGUGAAGGCUGCGAUAAGUCAAGAACAAAUUUAAUCAACUACUCGGCGC
RNAcentral lists this long non-coding RNA (270 nucleotides) under Danio rerio (zebrafish). RNAcentral's name for it is "lncRNA (ENSDARG00000117209.1)". The record is from RNAcentral. Lineage: Eukaryota; Metazoa; Chordata; Actinopteri; Cypriniformes; Danionidae.